GAUGAACGCUGGCGGCGUGCCUAAUACAUGCAAGUCGAGCGAACAGACGAGGAGCUUGCUCCUCUGACGUUAGCGGCGGACGGGUGGGUAACACGUGGAUAACCUACCUAUAAGACUGGGAUAACUUCGGGAAACCGGAGCUAAUACCGGAUAAUAUAUUGAACCGCAUGGUUCAAUAGUGAAAGACGGUUUUGCUGUCACUUAUAGAUGGAUCCGCGCCGCAUUAGCUAGUUGGUAAGGUAACGGCUUACCAAGGCAACGAUGCGUAGCUGACCUGAGAGGGUGAUCGGCCACACUGGAACUGAGACACGGUCCAGACUCCUACGGGAGGCAGCAGUAGGGAAUCUUCCGCAAUGGGCGAAAGCCUGACGGAGCAACGCCGCGUGAGUGAUGAAGGUCUUCGGAUCGUAAAACUCUGUUAUUAGGGAAGAACAAAUGUGUAAGUAACUAUGCACGUCUUGACGGUACCUAAUCAGAAAGCCACGGCUAACUACGUG
RNAcentral lists this ribosomal RNA (497 nucleotides) under uncultured bacterium. RNAcentral describes it as "partial 16S ribosomal RNA". It matches the Rfam family "Bacterial small subunit ribosomal RNA", at positions 28 to 507 of the family's 1533-position model. The record is from RNAcentral.